AGAGCGAACGCUGGCGGCAGGCUUAACACAUGCAAGUCGAGCGCCCCGCAAGGGGAGCGGCAGACGGGAGAGUAACACGUGGGAACAUACCUUUUGGUUCGGAACAACUGAGGGAAACUUCAGCUAAUACCGGAUAAGCCCUUACGGGGAAAGAUUUAUCGCCGAAAGAUUGGCCCGCGUCUGAUUAGCUAGUUGGUGAGGUAAUGGCUCACCAAGGCGACGAUCAGUAGCUGGUCUGAGAGGAUGAUCAGCCUCAUUGGGACUGAGACACGGCCCAAACUCCUACGGGAGGCAGCAGUGGGGAAUAUUGGACAAUGGGCGCAAGCCUGAUCCAGCCAUGCCGCGUGAGUGAUGAAGGCCUUAGGGUUGUAAAGCUCUUUCGUUGGGGAAGAUAAUGACGGUACCAAAGAAGAAGCCCGGCUAACUUCGCGCCAGCAGCCGC
This 442-nucleotide ribosomal RNA is filed under the name uncultured bacterium. RNAcentral's name for it is "SSU rRNA". It matches the Rfam family "Bacterial small subunit ribosomal RNA", at positions 26 to 518 of the family's 1533-position model. The record is from RNAcentral.